RNAcentral lists this ribosomal RNA (253 nucleotides) under uncultured bacterium. RNAcentral describes it as "partial 16S ribosomal RNA". It matches the Rfam family "Bacterial small subunit ribosomal RNA", at positions 524 to 776 of the family's 1533-position model. The record is from RNAcentral.
UACGGGGGGGGCAAGCGUUGUUCGGAAUUACUGGGCGUAAAGGGCUCGUAGGCGGCCAACUAAGUCGGACGUGAAAUCCCCAGGCUCAACCUGGGAACUGCGUCCGAUACUGGAUGGCUUGAAUCCGGGAGAGGGAUGCAGAAUUCCAGGUGUAGCGGUGAAAUGCGUAGAUAUCUGGAGGAAUACCGGUGGCGAAGGCGGCGAUCUGGGUAGAUACUGACGCUGAGGAGCGAAAGCGUGGGGAGCGAACAGG